RNAcentral lists this long non-coding RNA (792 nucleotides) under Canis lupus familiaris (dog). RNAcentral's name for it is "lncRNA (ENSCAFG00030016551.1)". The record is from RNAcentral. Lineage: Eukaryota; Metazoa; Chordata; Mammalia; Carnivora; Canidae.
AAAAAUUGUUUUAAAAAUAUAUACCAAGAAAUCUCACUCCCCUCUCUGUCCCUGCACCUCAUUUCACCAUUUUUAUUAGUUUCUCAUUUAUUCAAUUUUUAAGUAAAUAAAAGCAAAUGUGUUUAUACAUAUCACCUUCUUAUCAUAUAUAUGGUGGCAUAACAUAUACAUGAUUAUGUACUGUUUUCUUUCUCUUUACAAAAACAUUCUAAAAAUUGUUCCCCAUCUGUACAUAGAAAUUUUCUAAUAGUUUUUUUAAACCCUGUUUUUCUCUGCAGGAUAAAAAAUAAAAGUUUCUUUAACCAGAUCUUUAUUGCUGGAUAUUUACAUUGUUUCUAAUCAUUGGUUCUGAAGAAAGCCACAGAUAUUUUGUUCCAGAAAUUGUGCAAGUCAUGGCCAGCAAGGAGAAUUAUAUGAUGGUGUUCCUCCAAGAGUGAUAAAUUUUGACAGUCAGUUUAGCAGGAAGCACAGUUUUCAUUCCCAUCUCAUGAUCCAAGUACCAAGAAGUUCUCUUCAUAACAUGUAUAAUUUCCAAAAAUUUAAAGCUUGAUUUCCCUACAAAUAAAAAGUGAACAUGUAUCAAAGAUCUAAUUAAUCCACUAAUGAGGAAACCAGUAACUUGGUAAGGCAGAUCCAAAGUAAAUAUGAGAAAACACAAGUAUUUAUUACAGCAGAGGACAGGAUGCUUCAUUUAGAUUGCUAAUUUAGUAUAAAACUGAUUAGUUUCCUAGAGGGCAUUAAAACUAUAAUUUUGCUGAUGUCAUUUGAAUCUCUACCAAAUAAAAUUUAUUU